Molecule: ribosomal RNA, 1016 nt
Filed under: uncultured bacterium
Lineage: Bacteria
Description: bacterial SSU rRNA
Rfam family: Bacterial small subunit ribosomal RNA
Source: RNAcentral
AGGAAUAUUGGUCAAUGGACGAGAGUCUGAACCAGCCAAGUAGCGUGAAGGAUGACUGCCCUAUGGGUUGUAAACUUCUUUUAUACGGGAAUAAAGUGAGGCACGUGUGCCUUUUUGUAUGUACCGUAUGAAUAAGGAUCGGCUAACUCCGUGCCAGCAGCCGCGGUAAUACGGAGGAUCCGAGCGUUAUCCGGAUUUAUUGGGUUUAAAGGGAGCGUAGGCGGACGCUUAAGUCAGUUGUGAAAGUUUGCGGCUCAACCGUAAAAUUGCAGUUGAUACUGGGUGUCUUGAGUACAGUAGAGGCAGGCGGAAUUCGUGGUGUAGCGGUGAAAUGCUUAGAUAUCACGAAGAACUCCGAUUGCGAAGGCAGCUUGCUGGACUGUAACUGACGCUGAUGCUCGAAAGUGUGGGUAUCAAACAGGAUUAGAUACCCUGGUAGUCCACACAGUAAACGAUGAAUACUCGCUGUUUGCGAUAUACAGUAAGCGGCCAAGCGAAAGCGUUAAGUAUUCCACCUGGGGAGUACGCCGGCAACGGUGAAACUCAAAGGAAUUGACGGGGGCCCGCACAAGCGGAGGAACAUGUGGUUUAAUUCGAUGAUACGCGAGGAACCUUACCCGGGCUUGAAUUGCAACUGAAUGAUGUGGAGACAUGUCAGCCGCAAGGCAGUUGUGAAGGUGCUGCAUGGUUGUCGUCAGCUCGUGCCGUGAGGUGUCGGCUUAAGUGCCAUAACGAGCGCAACCCUUAUCGAUAGUUACCAUCAGGUUAUGCUGGGGACUCUGUCGAGACUGCCGUCGUAAGAUGUGAGGAAGGUGGGGAUGACGUCAAAUCAGCACGGCCCUUACGUCCGGGGCUACACACGUGUUACAAUGGGGGGUACAGAAGGCAGCUACACGGCGACGUGAUGCUAAUCCCUAAAGCCUCUCUCAGUUCGGAUUGGAGUCUGCAACCCGACUCCAUGAAGCUGGAUUCGCUAGUAAUCGCGCAUCAGCCACGGCGCGGUGAAUACGUUCCCG